CAAACUCGUGCACACAUGUCAGUCCUUCGCAGCUCUGCUGACAACUGCCAAACGGCCCAAAGGUCAGACAUAAGCCCAAAGCCCACUGUGAGUAGAAUGGAUAAAUGAAUGUAGUAGGCUCACACAAAGGAAUCUCAUCUAGCCUGGGAAUGUAUGAACAGGAGCGAUGUGACACAGAAGUUCCACAGACCGGACAUGGACAGAAGGAUACUUUUGUCAGAAAGAGAGCAUCCUUCAGCUUUAGGCAUCCUAACCUGACUGCACAGGGUAAAGAGUGUGACAUUUAAAGGCUGACAGGAAGCUACUUCCGUGGUCCCCGCCUCACUGUGGAGUCUCUGCAGACUAAGAAAAAAGCCCGAAGUGUUCCAUCCUGACAUCCCCUCUCCUUUGAGAACCUCGACAUACCAUUCCCAGCCUACAGCACAACCAGGGGGUUCCCAGCAGUGAACCCUGAGCAGGGGGAACAUAACUAGCCU
This 476-nucleotide long non-coding RNA is filed under the name Cricetulus griseus (Chinese hamster). RNAcentral describes it as "lncRNA (ENSCGRG00000026313.1)". The record is from RNAcentral. Lineage: Eukaryota; Metazoa; Chordata; Mammalia; Rodentia; Cricetidae.